This 377-nucleotide long non-coding RNA is filed under the name Homo sapiens (human). Its description in RNAcentral is "non-protein coding lnc-DNAAF5-3:19". The record is from RNAcentral. Lineage: Eukaryota; Metazoa; Chordata; Mammalia; Primates; Hominidae.
GACAGAGCCUGGCUUUGUGCGGGAGGCAGACGCGCCCCGCGCGCCGCCCCCGAAACAUUCGCACCCCAUGCUGAGGCGCGCGUCUGGGAGUCCGUGGGCGCCCCGAGAAAUGAAGUUGAAAAUAGCACAGGAGCCCACUAUCACUGUGUGAACAUUUUGUGAAUGAAGACAUGUAUGAAAGGAUGUUUGGAGGCUUCAAGAAACGAAAGCCGAGAGUCUAGCUAGACCAGAGCCAUCCAGCCCAGGAGCGAUGGCCACGUGUGGCCGCUGGACACGAGAGACGUGGCCAGUCCAAACUGUGCAGUGCGGUUGAAAAAAACAUUUUGGAUAUAUGGUGUUAAAUAAACAUGAUUACAAUGACUUUCGCUGUCAGCCUC